This 500-nucleotide ribosomal RNA is filed under the name uncultured Glomeromycotina. Its description in RNAcentral is "partial small subunit ribosomal RNA". It matches the Rfam family "Eukaryotic small subunit ribosomal RNA", at positions 591 to 1092 of the family's 1831-position model. The record is from RNAcentral. Lineage: Eukaryota; Fungi; Glomeromycota.
CCAAUAGCGUAUAUUAAAGUUGCUGCAGUUAAAAAGCUCGUAGUUGAAUUUCGGGACCAUCAUGUCGGUCGUGCCUCGGUACGUACUGGCAUUGUUGGUUUCUCCCUUCUGACGAACCAUGAUGUAAUUAAUUUGGUGUCUGGGGGAAUCAGGACUGUUACUUUGAAAAAAUUAGAGUGUUUAAAGCAGGCUCACGCUUGAAUACAUUAGCAUGGAAUAAUGAAAUAGGACGUUUGAUUCUAUUUUGUUGGUUUCUAGGAUCGACGUAAUGAUUAAUAGGGAUAGUUGGGGGCAUUAGUAUUCAAUUGUCAGAGGUGAAAUUCUUGGAUUUAUUGAAGACUAACUACUGCGAAAGCAUUUGCCAAGGAUGUUUUCAUUAAUCAAGAACGAAAGUUAGGGGAUCGAAGACGAUCAGAUACCGUCGUAGUCUUAACCAUAAACUAUGCCGACUAGGGAUCGGAUGAUGUUAAUUUUUUUAAUGACUCAUUCGGCGCCUUACG